AGGAAAGUUGUCAGGACAGAAUGAAUGAGAGAGCAGAGUGGUGACUGGAGCCACUCAGAGAGAAAGUGAGGAAAAGAAAGGGUGAAGGAAAGAGUGAGGAGUGAGAGACGGAUAGGAGCAGGAGAGAGGUGUUGUCCAGACCAGAAGGGGCCUAUGAAAGUGUUGCAUAGGAACAGUCAACAGUAGAGAAGAAAAGCAGGGAAAAGGAGGAGAACAGGAGAAGAAGGAGAGGAAAUAGAUGAGUGCGGUUGGACGUAGGGAGAUAUUGACACACUCGCUCUUUUUAAUUUCCCACAUCAAAGGGCUGUUUGAAGACACAGCUGGGGAGAGAAGAAA
Molecule: long non-coding RNA, 336 nt
Organism: Seriola aureovittata
Lineage: Eukaryota; Metazoa; Chordata; Actinopteri; Carangiformes; Carangidae
Exons: 3
Source: RefSeq, a predicted model, not a curated record